Perca fluviatilis (European perch) is the source of this 205-nucleotide long non-coding RNA. RefSeq lists it as uncharacterized. The transcript has 3 exons. NCBI's taxonomy places the organism in Eukaryota, Metazoa, Chordata, Actinopteri, Perciformes, Percidae. The record is from RefSeq and is a predicted model, not a curated record.
CGAUGGUAAAGGGAUUUUAAAAAGAGACAAGUUGCUCCCAAAAAUUAUCAAAAUCAUCAACCUUUCAUUAUCAGUCAGUCAGUCAUUAACUCAGCAGGUAAAAAAAAGAAAAAACAGCUAACAACAGUGGUUAAAAGCAUCUGAGCCAAUACAAAGUACUCAGACUUGUUGUUUAGGUGUUUUGUCCUCCAAUAAAAACUACAGU